GUGGGGAAUAUUGCGCAAUGGGGGAAACCCUGACGCAGCGACGCCGCGUGAGCGAAGAAGGCCUUAGGGUUGUAAAGCUCUGUUUUAAGGGACGAAUGUCGUGGGGAGUAAUAUGCUCUGCGAAUGACGGUACCUUAAGAGGAAGCCCCGGCUAACUACGUGCCAGCAGCCGCGGUAAGACGUAGGGGGCGAGCGUUGUCCGGAAUUACUGGGCGUAAAGAGCACGUAAGCGGGAACUUAAGUCAGGUGUGAAAGACCGGGGCUCAACUCCGGGGUUGCACUUGAAACUGGGGUUCUUGAGGGCAGGAGAGGAGAGCAGAAUUCCUGGUGUAGCGGUGAAAUGCGUAGAAAUCAGGAGGAAUACCAGUGGCGAAGGCGGCUUUCUGGACUGACCCUGACGCUGAGGUGCGAAAGCGUGGGUAGCAAACAGGAUUAGAAACCCCGGUAGUCC
This 451-nucleotide ribosomal RNA is filed under the name uncultured bacterium. RNAcentral's name for it is "partial 16S ribosomal RNA". It matches the Rfam family "Bacterial small subunit ribosomal RNA", at positions 354 to 796 of the family's 1533-position model. The record is from RNAcentral.